GGGGAUGUACUGGUUUCGACGGGAUCGUAGGUGGUCAGGUAAGCGAGUCGUAGCCCCGUGCUACGUUAAAAACGGGAAAUUAAAAAUUAACUCACAAUAGCAAUUACGCUAUCGCUGCCUAAUUAGGCGCGCGUCGGCAUGAGGAUCCCGCUGUCUCAUUCACCGGCGUCGAUUUAGCGGGCAAUGUUUCUGUGUAAGCUUUGCCACUGAAACACAUUUAUGAAGCUACUAAAGCCUUGAGCCUGUCUGCGGGCGCCUGGCAGAGGGAAUGUUAAAAUACAGACUGCACUCGGAGAAAGCCUGGUUGUCGCUUUUUCGGACAGGGGUUCGAUUCCCCUCAUCUCCACCA
This 349-nucleotide transfer-messenger RNA is filed under the name Christensenellales. RNAcentral's name for it is "Ventricola sp902767305 Standard tmRNA". It matches the Rfam family "transfer-messenger RNA". Rfam says of the family: Bacterial tmRNA, also known as 10Sa RNA or SsrA, is named for its dual tRNA and mRNA-like properties. Lineage: Bacteria; Bacillati; Bacillota; Clostridia. The record is from RNAcentral. RNAcentral also lists the same sequence under 1 other name.